UACGAAGGGGGCUAGCGUUGCUCGGAGUCACUGGGCGUAAAGGGUGCGUAGGCGGGUCUUUAAGUCAGGGGUGAAAUCCUGGAGCUCAACUCCAGAACUGCCUUUGAUACUGAGGAUCUUGAGUUCGGGAGAGGUGAGUGGAACUGCGAGUGUAGAGGUGAAAUUCGUAGAUAUUCGCAAGAACACCAGUGGCGAAGGCGGCUCACUGGCCCGGAACUGACGCUGAGGUGCGAAAGCGUGGGGAGCAAACAGG
Molecule: ribosomal RNA, 253 nt
Filed under: uncultured bacterium
Lineage: Bacteria
Description: partial 16S ribosomal RNA
Rfam family: Bacterial small subunit ribosomal RNA
Source: RNAcentral